UAUGGAAAGAAGCAUUGUGCCACAACUAGGACCUUCCCUUCAUGAGGAAAUAGAAAUACUGGUGGUAGGGCAAAGGGUGUUGGAGGUUUACAAGGAAAAGAGCCUGGAUGCAUUUGGCUUGGAGCUGAGGUGCAGAAGAGAUUUGCAACACAAAAGCAUGGAAGCAAAGGAAGGAACCAGUCUGGCCUGACACAAUCACAUUCGACAUACCACCUCAAGCUAUGCUUACUUGCCAAGAAAAGCUCUGUACUCCUAAAUACCAAAUGGAUUGAAAUGUUUUCCCCAUUCUAUCACUUCAAGCCACAGGGCUCUUGUCUUGCCUCCAGUGGCACAAUUUGCCAAUGCAGAAAAUAGGACUGACAUCCUCUCUCCUUGUUACUCCUCCUGCUGCCUCACCAUCAUUUUUUUUUAAAAGUUAAAAUUCUGUUUCUCUUCUUAAUUUGAAUGGAAGGCAGAAAAUAACAGAUGAUGGUUAUGAUGACAUCUCUUCCUGUAUAUCUUUCAAACUAAUGGAAUUCUUGGAGGACUGCUGUACAUACCAUAUUACCAAUACCAGCAUUGCUCUCUCAGUGUGCUGAUGACAAAAUAUAGCUGCUGUUAAGUAGCUUUGUGUUUGCUCUCUGCUUAUGCCUUGCUCUAAGACAUCCUGGUGGUAGAGCCAUAUUGAUCAAUUUCUAAUUAAGCAUUGAAAUGCCUGAUGCUUCAACCGUAAGGUCAGCGGAAGACAAUCUUACGGAGCGAAUCCUUCCUGGCCACCUGCCAGCCUUUCAAGUGCAUCUGUGGGCAGUGCUGAGGAUUUAUGCACUUCAUCGCCUGUCAUUUUCUACCCUGGAGGAAAGCAAGUCUCUAAAUUGAAUUAUCACAAAGAAAUCAAUUGCAGAUCAAACCUCUGUGAAAUUAUAAUUGCUUUAAUGAUCUGUGGGCUGGAAAGAAUGGAAGACGGGAGGGGGAGAGGAAGCUGUGUAGCUGGUGCACCAUUCAUGUGCCUCAUAUCAGGAUCACUCUUUGUGGGAAGAAUUAGAGCUAAUUAUGCAUUAAUUUGAUCUUCUAUUAAUUUCUCAUGUUUGGAUAUUUCAUGGGCUCCUUUUCAUACUCUAACACAACUGCAGCAUAGGAUUCUGAAUUCUGAGAAGCUCUGUGGUUAUCAGAGACAGUAGCCACACCGGACUUGAUUUUAUUUAAACCUAAGUAGCUGCCAUUUUGAUGAAAACAUUCUAACAGAAAAUAAAAUGGGAAAGAUACACAAGCCUUUAUGACUCAUCCAAAAUCUUAUCAGCAGUCUCCUUUAGCCUCUAGCCUUAAACCACUUAGGUAUAGAGUGUCUGCAGAGACUCUCAUUAGAACUGACAUUUUGACAAGUCUAUAGAAAAAUACAACAACAAAAAACACUGCAACGUUUUGAGUAUUUUAAAAAUAAUAAUUGACAACAGAACAAAGACAGACAAGGAAGAAUUCAGCUGUGAUAACCUUUUUCUUCACUUUGCAAAAUAACUGUUAAUUAAAAAAAGAAUCCAAUCCUCCUUGAUUAAUUGUAUCUCUGCAGAAGAUACAAUUCUUCAGGAUUUCCUGCAUUAUAUAUCAGGGUGAACACAACUGACACAGGUAUGGCAAAGCUGUACAAAUAAAGCCAUGGAUGUAAAUGUGCAUGGAAUUAAUUCCUGUUCUGCAUGCCAAGGAUACUACUCAUCAGCAAACAGGCAGCAGCUCUAUUGAAAAAUCCUCUUUGCUAUGGAUGGAAUCCAAGAUGCCAUGGGAGAUAAGAGAUGCAUUGAUUUAUUCAGCUGCCAGCAUCAAGCAUGUUCUCUGCUCCAUUGUGGUGGUGGAGGGUAUUAGAACUUUCCAUGAGUAAAAAUGAAUGAGGCAGAAGAAAUCCCAUCAGUCAAGAUAUAGUGAAGCAUCAUUGGUGGUGAAAACAUAUAGAACAUUGAUGGAUAGCAGUCAUGUGGAGAUAGGAGGUACAGAAAGAAUAACAAUGAAGGAAACAAUGUCAAAGCAGAAGAAUUCUUUCUCAAAUGCUACAUAGCGGCAAAUCUGCCACAACAACAACAAUCCCCCGCCCCUCCACACACAUACAAAGAAAAGAAAAGAACCUCUAAGAAUUCCAAUAAAGAGAAAAUUUUGUUUUUCCGGCUCAAAUACAUAUCACAGUUAUUUGUACUUCCUGAACAGUGAAAUCACUCAAGGGAGUAACUAAAAAAGGAUUGCUCAACAGAAGUGGCUUUUCUAAUAAAAAAGGAACAGAAAUGUCUUAAGGUGUGCUGAGAAGAUGAGGAUGACCUUGGCAUAUAACAUAAGAAGGUGACUUACAGACUCAUCAUAUAGCAUUGAUUCCUGUUCCCAAAUGGUGGGCUGGGACCUCCCAGAAGGCAUGUGAGCAUUCUCAGUCAGCUGCAAUGCUAUUAUUAAGUUUGCACUGUGGAUCUAUAUCUAGUAAUAUUUUUGUUUUAAGUUUGGAUAUACAUCAGCAAAUAAAUUGAUCCUGGCAUUAAAUUCUUCCCUAACAGGACUGAACACUUA
This is a long non-coding RNA of Hemicordylus capensis (graceful crag lizard), 2517 nucleotides long. RefSeq lists it as uncharacterized. The transcript has 4 exons. The record is from RefSeq and is a predicted model, not a curated record. NCBI's taxonomy places the organism in Eukaryota, Metazoa, Chordata, Lepidosauria, Squamata, Cordylidae.